Amphiprion ocellaris (clown anemonefish) is the source of this 2748-nucleotide long non-coding RNA. RefSeq lists it as uncharacterized. The record is from RefSeq and is a predicted model, not a curated record. The transcript is spliced from 4 exons. NCBI's taxonomy places the organism in Eukaryota, Metazoa, Chordata, Actinopteri, Pomacentridae.
AAGAUUCUCAGAGGGCGGAGCCAGAGAGCAGUGACUGGUCAGACCAGAGAUACAUAGAGAAGACAGCGCGGUAGCGUAUCUAGUCUUCUCUGUAUGGUAGCAUCUCUGGCAGCUGUUGACUUUGUUUUUGGAGUAAAACACGGUGGAAGCUGAAUUAGUGAGGAUGACUCCUGCUCCUGUCAUCUCUAAGCUCCUCACACAUCUUUACCUGCACAUGAGGAAAAUCACUCUUGUAGAAUGAAGAUGUUCAGAGGGAGAUGAUGCCACAUCUGGUCCAGCUGAUGGAAGGUCUUGAAGUUCUCUGACUGGCCUGGACUGAAGAUGGUCGUCUCACUGGAUUCAAGGUUCAGAUGCUCAGUAAUAAACUCCACCAAUGUGCCAACAGGGAAGCUUUAGCUUUAUUGCUUUGUUGCUAUGAAGGUAUCGCUGUUUUUCUUUGUGAAUGCAAUGUGCUCCAACUGAAACUUGAAUUGGAACUUAGAAGUAAAUCCUUCCAUCUGAAAGGAUUUAGUUGCAUUAAUAACCUCAUAACAUUCAAAUUUUUAUUCGGUCUUGGUUGGAAAUAGAAUCUCUGUAUUGAUUCAGGUAAAAACUGAACUUCACAGCAUGUUGGAGCAAAACAACCAGAUGAAAAUUGUGAUGGUGUUGGAUUGUCAGACCGUAAUGUUGCAGCUCAAAGCAGCUUUUCUAACUCAAUAACUAGCUGAAUAGCUGCAGUCUAAUGUAACAGCUGGAAUUGUAACAUCUGUCCUGAUAUUGAUUAGAGGUCGACAGAUAUGGGAUUUUCAAUGGCCGAUGCCGAUACCGAUUUUUUAAAAAAAUUUUCAGCCGAUGGCCGAUAUCUAAAGCCGAUUGUAGGAGCCGAUUUUUAAGGCCGAUAUCCUUUUUUUUUCUUUUAAAGCACAUCGAUUACAAAAGGCAAUUUAAACACUAAAAGUAUAUACAUGUAUAUAUUACAAAUUAAAUACACUAGUAGAACUCUAACAUUUAUUGAACACAAAAAGUGAAAAAGUACAAUAACAUAAAAAAAAAAUACUUAAAGUUUACAAAAAAUACAAUUAAAAAGUAACCUGAAAGUGGUUAGGGUUAGGCUUGUUGUUGCCUGGCUCACUCGCUCCGCUCAUGCUCCGCUCUCUGAGUGCCGGGGGUCCUUCUAAGGGAAAAGCAGUCGCGGCAGCUGCCCCUACGGGUGCCUGACCACAAAUCGGCUUUUUAUUUGUAUCGGCCGAUGGCCGAUAUUGAAAAAAGUCCAUAUAUCGGCCCAAAAUAUCGGCCGGCCGAUAUAUCAGUCUACCUCUAAUAUUGAUCAUGAAAUAUUGAUCAGAAUUCUAAUGGUCAGCUGUCGUCCCUGACAUUUCACAUUAAAAUCUUUACUCGUGUUGUGAACUUUGGUAAGAAGCAGAAACUUUAGCGUUGCCAUGGAUACAUGAGUGUUAAAUUCAGUCCAUGUUUCAUUUUGGGAAAUGCAGUCCAGCAGAUGAGUUUGUCUUUACUGCCAGCUACCGUUCAGUCUGAGAUAUUAAGAAUAAAUAAAUGUGCAUAAUGUGGAAAUGAACAGAUUUCAUUUUUAUUUAUUCCUACAGCUGUUGCAGGAAAGUUCCAGAAUGUGGAGGAAUUUAGUCUCACAAUCACAGACAAUAAAUAUUAUCUGAAUGUCGGGUUAUUGUUGUUUAUCAGCACAAUACAAAAAGAUUCAUGUGAGAAAUAUUCCAGUUAAGACUCUAGAAUAUCACGAUUUAUGUAAAUUUACCUCAAUAAUAUAAAUGUUCAGGUUAAGAUUGCACAGUGAUAUUUAUUAUGUAAGUUUAGCUGAUUAAAGUUUAUGACUCUGCACUACAAUAUUAUUUAAAUUUCCAUCAUUAUUAUAAUAUUUAGGGUCAGACCCUACAGUAUUGAGAUUAAGAAAUCAAAUAUUUCAUAAAAUGUAAAUACACUGAACAAAUUUGGAUAUAUUUAAGUGAGAAUCUACAAUAUUAUUUGACACAAAUCUCUCUAAAUCAAAAUUUGAAUCAUUUUUACUCCAAACAUUUACUGGACUGAUUUAAAUACUACUAUCACUCCUUUCUAAUCCUUUGCUGUACGUUCAAACCUGAGGCCUUAAAUAGAAACACACAAGUAUCUGUUUGAAGGAACUUCUGCAGAGUCCUGGUUCCAGAACAUGAUGUUAGAAUUAUAGACAAACUUUAACAAAAGCUGCCUGAGAGUUUACAGGUUUUUAUGUUGGAUUUCUUCAGUAAUUUAAUGAGCAUUAUCAGCAAUAAUCAAGUGUUCAUUUGAUGAACUUCAUUUCCUAAAACAUCCAGAGUUGGAACUCAUAUCUUUGGCAGCUGUAAAGUUUCUGCUCCUUCAAAGUUCACAACACAAUGAAUGAAUUCCUAAAACACUCUCAGUGCUGGAGAGCAUUUGUGAUGCUGAAGCAGUGACCAGUUUUUCUGUUUCUUCUCUGGAGAUGCACAAUGAGGGACGUCUGCAGAGACUGAGAAAGAGUCUCACCACAUCCUGACAUGAGGAAAAAGACUUUAUUGAAGACUACAAUGAGAAAAACUAUCAGACAGCAGACGACUGCAUUCAAGAGAGGAAGACUAUCAAACAUCCACGUCAGCUGAUGAAGGUCCAAGAGUCUCACCGAACAAACAACCUACAGAAUGAAGACCUCAAAUCUGAUUGGACGGCCUCCUAUUAAGCCACGUGUGAACAAAUGCCUCUAAGUUGAUUUGUUUUCUAAAAUAAAUCUAGUUUGAGUCCUAA